UACGUAGGGGGCAAGCGUUGUCCGGAAUCAUUGGGCGUAAAGAGCGCGUAGGCGGUCCGGUAAGUCCGCUGUGAAAGUCAAGGGCUCAACCCUUGAAUGCCGGUGGAUACUGUCGGGCUAGAGUCCGGAAGAGGCGAGUGGAAUUCCUGGUGUAGCGGUGAAAUGCGCAGAUAUCAGGAGGAACACCAAUGGCGAAGGCAGCUCGCUGGGACGGUACUGACGCUGAGGCGCGAAAGCGUAGGGAGCAAACAGG
RNAcentral lists this ribosomal RNA (253 nucleotides) under uncultured bacterium. Its description in RNAcentral is "partial 16S ribosomal RNA". It matches the Rfam family "Bacterial small subunit ribosomal RNA", at positions 524 to 776 of the family's 1533-position model. The record is from RNAcentral.